AGCAUAUUAUUAAGGGGAGGAAAAGAAACUAACAAGGAUUCCCCUAGUAACGGCGAGUGAAGCGGGAAGAGCUCAAACUUGAAAUCCACUGGUGUAACAACCUGUGGACUUGUAGCCUAGAGACGCUCUCUCAGCGCUAGACUGGCUAUAAAUUCCCUGGAAUGGGGUAUCAUAGAGGGUGAGAAUCCCGUCUUUGAGCUGGAUCUAAGUGCGUACGAGGGGCGUUCCAAGAGUCGCGUUGCUUGGGAGUGCAGCGCAAAUUGGGUGGUAAAGUUCAUCUAAAGCUAAAUACUGGCGAGAGACCGAUAGCGAACAAGUACCGUGAGGGAAAGAUGAAAAGAACUUUGAAAAGAGAGUUAAAAAGUACUUGAAAUUGUUAACAGGUAAGGGCAGGAAACCAGUAAUUCUUGAGUUCAUUUGCGGUCGCUCCGGCUGCCGUUACUUGGGCUUGGGAGAGUCAUCAUCAUUUAGAUUCUUUGGAGAAAGCGUAGGGGUUGGUGCCUUUCUUCGGAUCGGUUUAGUCCUUGCGUCCUACAUUGGGUCUGAAUGAGGAAGAUAACCCGCGCUCUUCGGAGCACGGCACUUUGAGGUCUGUUUGCCCUAGCGCGUGAGAGAGCAAAGCUCUGUCUGUGUGAAAGGCGAACACUACCUUGGAUGUGUCAGUUGCUGGGUUCGCGAUGAUGACGAAAUGGUUUUCUACCACCCGU
This 707-nucleotide ribosomal RNA is filed under the name uncultured fungus. RNAcentral's name for it is "eukaryotic LSU rRNA". It matches the Rfam family "Eukaryotic large subunit ribosomal RNA", at positions 37 to 652 of the family's 3401-position model. Lineage: Eukaryota; Fungi. The record is from RNAcentral.